Molecule: long non-coding RNA, 2894 nt
Organism: Hemicordylus capensis (graceful crag lizard)
Lineage: Eukaryota; Metazoa; Chordata; Lepidosauria; Squamata; Cordylidae
Exons: 3
Source: RefSeq, a predicted model, not a curated record
AAGGCAGCUGACGUGUGUGGGCGGACCAGCCUGAAAAGCUACUCAACUGCGGCCAGGGCGAACGUGAGAGCGCGCGAAAACCGCGCUCGCGCCUCUUUCCUUGCAAGCAAGCAGGCGCCUCCUCCUCCUCCUCCAUUUUAUCCAUCCCUGUGGAGAAGCACAUGGCCAGAGAAGGCGGCCGGAGGCAGCAGCACCCGGUGCCAUUCGCCUUUCUCGAAGGGCUUAUAUUGGGGGAACAACUCAGCCGGCCUUGAGAGAGAGCGUCUUACAGUGGCGAAAUAUGUUGCCUUGCCGGGCUGGCUGCAGCAGGAAAGACUCCUACGACUCUAGCCACGCGUGGUGUCUAAAGCGUGGGCUGAAUUGGGGAGACUUGUGUGCGCGCGUGCUUGUUUUUAGAGCGCGGCUGCCCAAAAUAAGUUCCAUUAAACUGAAUGCUUCUUCUCAAGAAGCGCCUCUCUCCCGAAUUCUAGCACACUCAAGACGUGGGUUUGUAAUGCUCUGCACUGCAGCAGCUCCUCAGGAGGUCUUUGAACGCUUCCAGUAAAGAGAUUGGGCGCUGAGAGAACACGUCCUGGGCUAACUGUGCUCAGCCUUCGUUUAAACCAAGUAGUGUGCAGGGUUAACCUCCGCGCGGUCCUACACGCAUUGAUUGAAAAUGCAACAAACCAAUGGUUGCCAUAAAGCACACUGAACUAUUUCGAACGAGGUUUACUUAGAGGGUCCCUCCCACCGCUUUUAAUGGUGCCGAGUAACUUUGCACAGUGGUGCCGUCUCAGGCGGCAAUCUUCUGCCUACAUGCAUGUAGGGUCAACUGAAUACAGUGGAAUUUACACAGGAUUUGGCUGCAAUCCUAAAUGCACUUUUGUAAGUGGCCAACCGUAAAGCUUACUUUUGAGUUAAAAAAAAAUGCAUAUGGUGCUUCUGCACAGGAAUGUGGCAGAGAGCAAAAGGCACAUUAUUCGGCGUCUGCCUUUGUAAUCUGUCUCCCUCCCACUACUUUCCAAAAUUUAUUCCCAGCCGCUCUGGAGUCAGGGCUCCUAUGGGUACUUUCCCAACACCGCAAAACACUAAUCCGAUUUAAACCUAUAGCAAAAUAUACUUUUUGUUGUUUGUUUGAGUCAGAGAAGCUACCCUUAUUCUCCUUACAUGCCUUUCUUCCAUGCAAUCCCUCCUACGUAUGCUUACUCGGAAACAAGCCCCACUGAUUUAAAUGGAGCUUACUCCCAGGAAAGUGUCCAUAGGAUUACACCCUGGCUUCCCCUCCAUACACUAACCUGCAGACCGAAGGGAUCCAUGCUGAUCGCUAAGUUGCCACUCGGAGGGGCCGCAACAGCAGCAGCCUCUCUUAACUGGAUGGGGAACGAGAGAAAUAACACGCCGUAGACUCGCGCCAAAGCGUCUUGGAACUCGCCGGAGGCGGGGAUUGGCAAUAUUUUUCCCGCGAAGGUGUUGAAGUCCUGGAAGGCUCAGAAAUUACUCCGGCUCGGCACCUGGUUUUUCUGGGCGAUUUGAUCGGGAGUCAUACAUUCCUCUUGUAUACCCAAACCGAAUAGAAUAGGUAUACAGAAUACUUCCUGGAUGGGUUCCAAAGUCCACACAAGCUUAUGCUACAAUUCAUUUAUUCGUCUUGUUCUUGCCACAAGACUUCUUCUUGCUGCAGCAGACUGACAUGACUACAUCUCUGGAAGCUACUGCAAAAUAUAAUGCAAUUCCAUUCGUAACAAGCCAAAUGUGACACUGAAAAUCUACAUACUAAAGAGAUGUAAAGCCAGCACACUGACUUUAUGGAUGCAAAUAUAAUUACAGCUGUUCCAGCCUGGCUAGAGAAGGUGAAAUGGAAGCCACAUAGAAGAAGUGGGCAAAGUACGGAGAACUAAGGAGAGGCUUCUACUAGAAUCAUGACUCACAGUCACUAGACUGCUCCCAAACUGACUUUUUCCACGCUGCAGUGGCUUCAGUGAAUAAGAGCCACUGAUAUACCCACUGGGGCCAUUAAUUCCUGUUUGUAAGCACCUGAGGCUGGAGCAGAUACUUCACACCCAGUUAUGGUGGGGCGGGGUGGGGUCAGCCUGAUGAGCUUAUCACAAACAGCUUGGCUCAUUUAACUUCCGAGGGAACAAGACAGCUGAAAUAUAAGAACCAUGUUUCAGCUUCAUUGACUAGUGGAUCAAGAUUCACAAAGGGCAAAUUGGUUGCACAAAUAGCAUAUGCAAUACAGCAUAAGCCAUUACUGAAAAUGAUGUUCUUAAUGUGUGUGAGUAUGUUUUUAAUGGAAGAAAGAAGUUUGCAGUUACAGUUUUGAGACAAAUGUUUACAGGUGGAACUUUAAAAUAUAUAGUCUUGCCCCUCUUGAUUGUACAUAUCAGUGUUUCUCAACCUUUUUGGCGUCAGGGAACGGUACAUUAAUCAUGCGCAGUUUCCUGGACCACCAUCAGUUAGUAAGGGGGUCACCCCCAAACCCCACCCCAAGGCACCUCCCAAAAAACCAAUUCCGGGCAGUUCUCCGGAGUUCCUUUCCAGGCAGCCCUCGCUGCUGAAUAAUGUUCAUUUCGAGGAAGUGAAAUGAAUGUUAUCCAGCAGCAAGGGCUGUCUGGAAAUGAGCUCCAGGGAGCUCCCAAAGGUCCCCGCUGGCCCAAAAUUGGGGUUUUUUGGGGGGUGGGGUGAUUUUUUAUUAGUGAUGCCUCCAUGGACCGGUGGUUGAGAAACACUGGUACAUAUAAACAUGAAAAUGUGAUCACAGUGUGUCUCAAAGUUUGAAAAAGAACAUAUUUAAAAGCUGUACAACCCUUUCCCCCAGUGUAUAUAUUUUUAACCAAACUCUUUUAAAAUUGACAAUUUGCUUUGGGUUUUUUUUGAAGCUCAACAGCAACAGAAAAUUUUUAGAUAUGCAUACA